RNAcentral lists this long non-coding RNA (407 nucleotides) under Androctonus crassicauda. Lineage: Eukaryota; Metazoa; Arthropoda; Arachnida; Scorpiones; Buthidae. The record is from RNAcentral.
CAGACUUCCCUAGUGCUAGGAUGCAUGUGUCAGGAAGGUACCAAGUGUGAGGUUGCGUUUAUAUUUGAUACCUCAGUUUUCUAGGCAGGGUCUCACUCACUGCUUCUGCUAGGCUUGAACUCAUAUCCCUCAAGGGCUGGCAGGCAUCAAGUGUCAAUAGAGAUGGAGUGGUCUGGGGUCUCACCUCCAUAAUACUGCUGGAGGAGGGAGGGGGCAGGAGCACUUGUGUGUCUGCAGGGACUUUUCACAGGCAGUGCCUAGUGGUGGCAGAACAUCACCAGGGAAGCUAGAGGUUGAGCGGGUGAACAGGGACAAGCCACCCUUUCUUUUCUGACCUGACUCUUGGGUUCCCAGAUCUCAUUGCCUUCAUGGAAGGAAGCAGACAUUCCCCACGAUACACUCUGUGG